RNAcentral lists this ribosomal RNA (797 nucleotides) under uncultured organism. RNAcentral's name for it is "bacterial SSU rRNA". It matches the Rfam family "Bacterial small subunit ribosomal RNA", at positions 519 to 1333 of the family's 1533-position model. The record is from RNAcentral.
GGUAAGACGUAGGACGCAAGCGUUAUCCGGAUUUACUGGGCGUAAAGCGCCUGUAGGCGGUCAAGUAAGUCGGAUGUGAAAGCCCCGUGCUCAACGCGGGGAAGCCAUUCGAUACUGCGUGACUAGAGAACGGCAGAGGGAAACGGAAUUUCUGGUGUAGCGGUAAAAUGCGCAGAGAUCAGAAAGAACACCGAUGGCGAAGGCAGUUUCCUAGGCCGCAUCUGACGCUGAGAGGCGAAAGCUAGGGGAGCGAACAGGAUUAGAGACCCUGGUAGUCCUAGCUGUAAACGAUGGAUGCUAGGUGUGGGCCGGAAAGGUCCGUGCCGGAGUUAACGCGAUAAGCAUCCCGCCUGGGGAGUACGGCCGCAAGGCUAAAACUCAAACGAAUUGACGGGGACCCGCACAAGCAGCGGAGCGUGUGGUUUAAUUCGAUGCUACACGCAGAACCUUACCUGGGCUUGACAUGUAGGUGGUAGUGAAGUGAAAGCGGAGCGACCCUUCGGGGAGCCUACACAGGUGCUGCAUGGCUGUCGUCAGCUCGUGCCGUGAGGUGUCGGGUUAAGUCCCGUAACGAGCGCAACCCUUGCCCUUAGUUACAAGUGUCUAAGGAGACUGCCGGUGACAAACCGGAGGAAGGUGGGGAUGACGUCAAGUCAGCAUGGCCCUUAUGUCCAGGGCGACACACACGCUACAAUGGUCGGUACAAUGGGCAGCGCAGCCGCGAGGUGAAGCGAAUCCCAACAAAGCCGAUCCCAGUUCGGAUUGCAGGCUGCAACCCGCCUGCAGAAGCCGGAGUU